CCUACGGGAGGCAGCAGUGGGGAAUUUUGCGCAAUGGGGGAAACCCUGACGCAGCGACGCCGCGUGGAGGAUGACGGCCUUCGGGUUGUAAACUCCUGUCAGAGGGGACGAAAUCCCGCAAGGGACUGACGGUACCCUCAGAGGAAGCCCCGGCUAACUACGUGCCAGCAGCCGCGGUAAUACGUAGGGGGCAAGCGUUACUCGGAAUUACUGGGCGUAAGGGGUGAGUAGGCGGCUGGGCAAGUCAAGGAUGAAAUCCCGAGGCUCAACUUCGGAACUGUCCUUGAAACUGCUCAGCUUGAGGGUAGUUGAGGAGAGCGGAAUUCCCGGUGGAGCGGUGAAAUGCGUAGAUAUCGGGAGGAACACCUGAGGCGAAGGCGGCUCUCUAAGCUACUCCUGACGCUGAAUCACGAAAGCUAGGGGAGCAAACG
RNAcentral lists this ribosomal RNA (431 nucleotides) under uncultured Aminicenantes bacterium. RNAcentral's name for it is "bacterial SSU rRNA". It matches the Rfam family "Bacterial small subunit ribosomal RNA", at positions 338 to 774 of the family's 1533-position model. The record is from RNAcentral. Lineage: Bacteria; Candidatus Aminicenantota.